Molecule: ribosomal RNA, 924 nt
Filed under: Salmonella enterica subsp. enterica
Lineage: Bacteria; Pseudomonadati; Pseudomonadota; Gammaproteobacteria; Enterobacterales; Enterobacteriaceae
Description: partial 23S ribosomal RNA
Rfam family: Bacterial large subunit ribosomal RNA
Source: RNAcentral
CGUUAAGUUGCAGGGUAUAGACCCGAAACCCGGUGAUCUAGCCAUGGGCAGGUUGAAGGUUGGGUAACACUAACUGGAGGACCGAACCGACUAAUGUUGAAAAAUUAGCGGAUGACCUGUGGCUGGGGGUGAAAGGCCAAUCAAACCGGGAGAUAGCUGGUUCUCCCCGAAAGCUAUUUAGGUAGCGCCUCGUGAAUUCAUCUCCGGGGGUAGAGCACUGUUUCGGCUAGGGGGCCAUCCCGGCUUACCAACCCGAUGCAAACUGCGAAUACCGGAGAAUGUUAUCACGGGAGACACACGGCGGGUGCUAACGUCCGUCGUGAAGAGGGAAACAACCCAGACCGCCAGCUAAGGUCCCAAAGUCAUGGUUAAGUGGGAAACGAUGUGGGAAGGCCCAGACAGCCAGGAUGUUGGCUUAGAAGCAGCCAUCAUUUAAAGAAAGCGUAAUAGCUCACUGGUCGAGUCGGCCUGCGCGGAAGAUGUAACGGGGCUAAACCAUGCACCGAAGCUGCGGCAGCGACACUGUGUGUUGUUGGGUAGGGGAGCGUUCUGUAAGCCUGUGAAGGUGUGUCGUGAGGCAUGCUGGAGGUAUCAGAAGUGCGAAUGCUGACAUAAGUAACGAUAAAGCGGGUGAAAAGCCCGCUCGCCGGAAGACCAAGGGUUCCUGUCCAACGUUAAUCGGGGCAGGGUGAGUCGACCCCUAAGGCGAGGCCGAAAGGCGUAGUCGAUGGGAAACGGGUUAAUAUUCCCGUACUUGGUGUUACUGCGAAGGGGGGACGGAGAAGGCUAUGUUGGCCGGGCGACGGUUGUCCCGGUUUAAGCGUGUAGGUGUGUGUUCCAGGUAAAUCCGGUUCACUUUAACACUGAGGCGUGACGACGAGGCACUACGGUGCUGAAGCAACAAAUGCCCUGCUUCCAGGAAAA